RNAcentral lists this ribosomal RNA (492 nucleotides) under uncultured bacterium. RNAcentral describes it as "partial 16S ribosomal RNA". It matches the Rfam family "Bacterial small subunit ribosomal RNA", at positions 29 to 507 of the family's 1533-position model. The record is from RNAcentral.
AGUGAACGCUGGCGGUAGGCCUAACACAUGCAAGUCGAACGGCAGCACAGUAAGAGCUUGCUCUUACGGGUGGCGAGUGGCGGACGGGUGAGGAAUACAUCGGAAUCUACUUUUUCGUGGGGGAUAACGUAGGGAAACUUACGCUAAUACCGCAUACGACCUACGGGUGAAAGCAGGGGAUCUUCGGACCUUGCGCGAUUGAAUGAGCCGAUGUCGGAUUAGCUAGUUGGCGGGGUAAAGGCCCACCAAGGCGACGAUCCGUAGCUGGUCUGAGAGGAUGGUCAGCCACACUGGAACUGAGACACGGUCCAGACUCCUACGAGAGGCAGCAGUGGGGAAUAUUGGACAAUGGGCGCAAGCCUGAUCCAGCCAUACCGCGUGGGUGAAGAAGGCCUUCGGGUUGUAAAGCCCUUUUGUUGGGAAAGAAAAGCAGCAGGUUAAUACCCCGCUGUUCUGACGGUACCCAAAGAAUAAGCACCGGCUAACUUCGUG